Molecule: transfer RNA, 91 nt
Filed under: Streptomyces avidinii
Lineage: Bacteria; Bacillati; Actinomycetota; Actinomycetes; Kitasatosporales; Streptomycetaceae
Description: tRNA-Pro(ggg)
Source: RNAcentral
CUGUCUGUGCGUGACGCGCGACGAGCGCUGGGGGCGCUCGUACGAGGCGUUCGGCGAGGACCCGGCACUGGUCACCGCGAUGGAGACGGUC